CAGUUUUUCGUUGUACAAUGAGUGAUUUCCAAGAAAAGUGCUCCACUACUUCAUUCACCGAAUCGGGUACUACUACCCUCAGGACCACACCUUCAUCUACUAGAGAGACACCCUCUACGACCACAACUUCUACAGGUGAAAGAGAUUUUUCUAUUAUUUUUUUUUACCUAUGUAUCUACAAAGGAAGUCUGCUCAUAAAGACCCUACCUUCCCAUUCUAA
This is a long non-coding RNA of Pomacea canaliculata, 220 nucleotides long. RefSeq lists it as uncharacterized. The transcript has 3 exons. The record is from RefSeq and is a predicted model, not a curated record. Lineage: Eukaryota; Metazoa; Mollusca; Gastropoda; Architaenioglossa; Ampullariidae.